AGCAGCAGCCGGGUAAUACAGAGGGUGCGAGCGUUAAUCGGAUUUACUGGGCGUAAAGCGUGCGUAGGCGGCUUUUUAAGUCGGAUGUGAAAUCCCUGAGCUUAACUUAGGAAUUGCAUUCGAUACUGGGAAGCUAGAGUAUGGGAGAGGAUGGUAGAAUUCCAGGUGUAGCGGUGAAAUGCGUAGAGAUCUGGAGGAAUACCGAUGGCGAAGGCAGCCAUCUGGCCUAAUACUGACGCUGAGGUACGAAAGCAUGGGGAGCAAACAGGAUUAGAGACCCCAGUAGUCCCUGUCUCUUAUACA
Molecule: ribosomal RNA, 303 nt
Filed under: uncultured bacterium
Lineage: Bacteria
Description: partial 16S ribosomal RNA
Rfam family: Bacterial small subunit ribosomal RNA
Source: RNAcentral